CUCUUCGGAGUUAGUGGCGGACGGGUGAGUAACACGUGGGAACGUGCCUUUAGGUUCGGAAUAACUCAGGGAAACUUGAGCUAAUACCGGAUGUGCCCUUCGGGGGAAAGAUUUAUCGCCUUUAGAGCGGCCCGCGUCUGAUUAGCUAGUUGGUGAGGUAAAGGCUCACCAAGGCGACGAUCAGUAGCUGGUCUGAGAGGAUGAUCAGCCACAUUGGGACUGAGACACGGCCCAAACUCCUACGGGAGGCAGCAGUGGGGAAUCUUGCGCAAUGGGCGAAAGCCUGACGCAGCCAUGCCGCGUGAAUGAUGAAGGUCUUAGGAUUGUAAAAUUCUUUCACCGGGGACGAUAAUGACGGUACCCGGAGAAGAAGCCCCGGCUAACUUCGUGCCAGCAGCCGCGGUAAUACGAAGGGGGCUAGCGUUGCUCGGAAUUACUGGGCGUAAAGGGAGCGUAGGCGGACAUUUAAGUCAGGGGUGAAAUCCCGGGGCUCAACCUCGGAAUUGCCUUUGAUACUGGGUGUCUUGAGUAUGAGAGAGGUGUGUGGAACUCCGAGUGUAGAGGUGAAAUUCGUAGAUAUUCGGAAGAACACCAGUGGCGAAGGCGACACACUGGCUCAUUACUGACGCUGAGGCUCGAAAGCGUGGGGAGCAAACAGGAUUAGAUACCCUGG
This 673-nucleotide ribosomal RNA is filed under the name bacterium. RNAcentral's name for it is "bacterial SSU rRNA". It matches the Rfam family "Bacterial small subunit ribosomal RNA", at positions 82 to 790 of the family's 1533-position model. The record is from RNAcentral.